This 429-nucleotide ribosomal RNA is filed under the name bacterium. RNAcentral's name for it is "partial 16S ribosomal RNA". It matches the Rfam family "Bacterial small subunit ribosomal RNA", at positions 355 to 776 of the family's 1533-position model. The record is from RNAcentral.
UAGGGAAUCUUCGGCAAUGGGGGCAACCCUGACCGAGCAACGCCGCGUGAGUGAAGAAGGUUUUCGGAUCGUAAAGCUCUGUUGUAAGAGAAGAACGUGGGUGAGAGUGGAAAGUUCACACAGGGACGGUAACUUACCAGAAAGGGAGGGCUAACUACGUGCCAGCAGCCGGGGUAAUACGUAGGUCCCGAGCGUUGUCCGGAUUUAUUGGGCGUAAAGCGAGCGCAGGCGGUUUAAUAAGUCUGAAGUUAAAGGCAGUGGCUUAACCAUUGUUCGCUUUGGAAACUGUUAAACUUGAGUGCAGAAGGGGAGAGUGGAAUUCCAUGUGUAGCGGUGAAAUGCGUAGAUAUAUGGAGGAACACCGGUGGCGAAAGCGGCUCUCUGGUCUGUAACUGACGCUGAGGCUCGAAAGCGUGGGGAGCAAACAGG